AUUGAACGCUGGCGGCAGGCCUAACACAUGCGAGUCGAACGGUAACAGGAAGCAGCUUGCUGCUUUGCUGACGAGUGGCGGACGGGUGAGUAAUGUCUGGGAAACUGCCCGAUGGAGGGGGAUAACUACUGGAAACGGUAGCUAAUACCGCAUAACGUCGCAAGACCAAAGAGGGGGACCUUAGGGCCUCUUGCCAUCGGAUGUGCCCAGAUGGGAUUAGCUAGUAGGUGGGGUAACGGCUCACCUAGGCGACGAUCCCUAGCUGGUCUGAGAGGAUGACCAGCCACACUGGAACUGAGACACGGUCCAGACUCCUACGGGAGGCAGCAGUGGGGAAUAUUGCACAAAGGGCGCAAGCCUGAUGCAGCCAUGCCGCGUGUAUGAAGAAGGCCUUCGGGUUGUAAAGUACUUUCAGCGGGGAGGAAGGGAGUAAAGUUAAUACCUUUGCUCAUUGACGUUACCCGCAGAAGAAGCACCGGCUAACUCCGUG
RNAcentral lists this ribosomal RNA (490 nucleotides) under uncultured bacterium. RNAcentral describes it as "partial 16S ribosomal RNA". It matches the Rfam family "Bacterial small subunit ribosomal RNA", at positions 30 to 507 of the family's 1533-position model. The record is from RNAcentral.